CGACGUGAGUAACCUGCCUCUAAGAGGGGAAUAACAUUCUGAAAAGAAUGCUAAUACCGCAUAACAUAUAUUUAUCGCAUGGUAGAUAUAUCAAAGAUUUAUCGCUUAGAGAUGGACUCGCGUCCGAUUAGUUAGUUGGUGAGGUAACGGCUCACCAAGACCGCGAUCGGUAGCCGGCUGAGAGGUUGAACGGCCACAUUGGGACUGAGACACGGCCCAG
RNAcentral lists this ribosomal RNA (220 nucleotides) under uncultured bacterium. Its description in RNAcentral is "partial 16S ribosomal RNA". It matches the Rfam family "Bacterial small subunit ribosomal RNA", at positions 113 to 334 of the family's 1533-position model. The record is from RNAcentral.